Molecule: long non-coding RNA, 3325 nt
Organism: Musa acuminata AAA Group (dessert banana)
Lineage: Eukaryota; Viridiplantae; Streptophyta; Magnoliopsida; Zingiberales; Musaceae
Exons: 2
Source: RefSeq, a predicted model, not a curated record
CGAACGCAAAUCUUAUGAUGCCCGCAAGCGCGUCUCGUAACCUCCCUCCUCCACUGUUCGUCGAUCGCCUGUUUCGUCUCCCGGAGAUUGCGAUCCUCUUCGCGAGCCUGCGGUCGGGCUCUCGGAAGAUGCAUCACCGUCGAGCUCGCGAGAAGGCGGUGGCUGUCCCCUCUCUCUCUGACUGCUCUCAUCACUAUUUUUUAAAUUAUGAAUAAAUGAGAGAUGAAUUAAGGUUUGCUUGUUGAUUUUAGGGAAAAGGAACCAUUUUUGCGGCGAAUGGUAUGAUUUUUGAGCUCUGCAACUAAUUUUGUCGUCGGCCAAUUGAUGUUGCUGUUCUGAUCGUUCUUCGGUUCUUGUAUCCUCCUUCGGCUAUUAGUUUUUAGCGCCUCUUUAAUUCAUGAUUACCCUGGAUCCAGAAUCUUCGCAAUUCCUUCAUUCAUUCACCGUAGAAAUAUAGUCCUGUUCCUGGGUAACUGAAAACGUUGAGGGCAGGUGUUUUGAGGGCAGGUGGAUUUGCUCAUUUUCUCUUCACUACAAGAAUUUGAUGUGGUGAUUGUUCAUGUUGGCAUCAAAAGUGAUAAUAUCCAAGAUUGUUGUGCUCAUAUCAACCACUUAUGAUAUAUGAAUGAAUGCUACGAAUUCGUUUCCUUUUUUCUUAUAUGAUAUAUUGAUAUGCUGCAGUGCAGAUGGAAGAUAUGGAUUGGUGGUUGUGCUCCUUUUGAGUUUGGAAAUGCUCAUCCUUUCGUUGAAAUCAUUCUCUUGUUUUGAAGGAGACAACUAGGACUAUCUUACUUUGUGCUAAAUUGGCUGUACUGACAUGCUUUUAAACAAAGAGAUUAACAAAAAAAUUUCUUUAAAUAGCUUAUGAGACACACAAAUAUGGACUCGAACCUGAAACUUAUCACUUGUGCAACAAUACACUAACGAGUAAGAUGUUUCUACUAAUAUGCUUACAUGAAGCUUGCUAAAGGCAUAUUGCUUGAUUUUUUGAAUGAGGUUUUUUACUGCUUCCACAAGGACUUAAAGUUUCAUUUACCCAAAGGUGAUGAGCUUCCAUCAGGGGUACUAUCUUAUGAGAGUAUAUGUCAUUGGUAACAAGCAUUUCUGGUGGUUGACUGAUCAAGAUGAUGUCAACAUUAGUUUUUAUCCAUUUAUUUGCAUCUCUGCUUGAUGGUAAUGGCAGGGCACAUCAUUUUUACUUAGUCAUUUGUGUCAGCACACUGGUCAGCCUUUCACCACAAUGGUAAUAGAGUAUCUGAUAUAGCUAAUAAGAAUGUGGUUGACCGAUCAGGAUUAUGCCAACAUGAUAUUUUCACCCAUUUUUAAUAUUUAUGGUAGUAUCUGGGCAUAUCAUUUUUAUUUAGUCAUGAGUUUUGGUAGAGUGAUUAGCCUUUCACCUUUUUCUUCCUCAGGAAAAUCCAGAAGAAGUAGAUCAGCUUUUGCACAACACUUGGUUCGAAAUGCAUGCAGCAGCGUGGUCAGGUUGGCAUUCACCAAAAUCUCAGAAACACUUGUGCAAGCACACAACAGUUAGGAUUUGGUUCAGACAGUGCGCAAAAUAGUGGCACCUCAUUCCUUUCUCUGGCUAAGGGAAGUAAGAGGCUGAGAAGUUAUUACCAUUUGGAGCCUAUCAAGCGAGAUCAAGGCACAGAGCAAGUCAAGCAAGAUCGGGGAACAGAAACCAUCAAAGAAGAGCAUUCUGAUAGACCUGAUGAUGAUGAUUCCGUUACCUUUAUGUUUGACAACAUAAAAACAGAGAUUGUUUAAAUAACAGAAAUAGAUGGUUCAGAUAGUGUGCAAAAUAGUGGCACCUCAUUCCUUUCUCAUGCCAGGGAAAGUAAGAGGCUGAGAAGUGAUUACCAUUUGGAGCUUAUCAAGUGAGAUCAAGGCACAGAGCCUGUCAAGCAAGAUCAGGGAGCAGAAACCAUCAAGUAAGAGUAUUCUGGUAAACCUGAUGAUGGUGAUUCCAUUACCUUUAUGUUUGACAACAGACAGGCAGAGAGUGGCAAAAUGCAGAAAGGGGUGGGGUUGUCAGCGAUGAAGGGGUUGAGAAGUUGGUGAAUCUAAUGCAACUUGGUAAAACUGAAAAAAUAGAUUUGUUUGGUCAGAUAAUGCUUGCGAAUGUCGUUACAGCCACUGAUAGGUUUGAUUGCCUUGGUCAGUUCUCGCAGCUUAAGGGAGUGCUUGUCAUGGAUGGUUGGUUCCAGGAGGUGCAUAAAGGAAAGAGUGGUGAUGGUGGUAGUCCCAGAGGAAGUGAUGAAGUAGUCGAGGAUUUUCUGUCAUCUUUGCUUUGUGCAGUUGAAAAGUUGCCUGUAAACCUAAAUGCUCUGCAGAUUUGUAACAUUGUUAAUUCGGUGAAUAAUUUGUGCAGUCACAAUAAUAUGUAGAUCCAGAGGAAAGCUAGGAGUCUUGUUUGGCACUGGAAGAAACAGGUUGAAGCUGAAAUGUCAAAAAUUGAUGCGAAUUCUGUCAGGCAGCCUGUUUCAGGGCCAGUCAAACCAGGUUAUUCUUAUGUUACUGAAGGAAUUAAGAAAUAAACGCACUGGAUCAACUAGAACAUCAGCAUGCAAACCUCUGCCUGGUAAACCUGCAACAUGAGAUUUUACUAUGAAGUCAAAUUUACCUGCAAAGUUGCUGCUGCUGGUGUGUGUUCAGAGUUGCCUACCAUAACAGUUUAGGAUGAGAAGAACAGUGUUCCAAAUCAGUCUAAAAAACAAUAGCCAAUUUUGUUCUACUGAUCAAGGUUAUCACAGGUGGAAAAAGCAUCACAAUUUGCACAAACAUGUGAAAAACCAUUUGAUAUGCAUGUUGGUGAUCAUGGAAUGUUGCCGCAAACUGAUUGUUAGGAUUCGUAACCCUGGGCUUUGCCAAAGCCCUGUACAUAGUGCCAGUGGCUGCUCUUUUGAGGACCCAGUGGUUACGGGCAACAAGUAGAUCAUAAUGAUUAUAAAUUGAAGGAAGAAGUAGCCAUUCUUGAUGAAGAAACAGCAGAAAUGUUGAGGAAACUGGUAAGGUUGCAGACCCUACUAAAACUGCCUGUUCAUCUUCUCCAAAUGAAAAUGGAGUUCCCUUGACUGAAUUGAGUACAAGAAUUGCUUUUAGUUCUAUGCAUGUCUUGAACCUUCAGCUGUUGAAGAUAAUAUGGGGUUGAAUCUCCUUGCUGCUAUGGAAGCUGAAGAUGACUGACUCAAGAUCUGGGCCGUAAGUUUACAUGAUCCGACGGCCUACAUCAAGUCUGACCGAUCUGGGUCAAUCCCACAAAUGGGCUCUAAUAGUGGAAUGAUAAAGUGAAAGUAUUAAUAAAUCUCUGAAUAUUAGGAUUCAA